CGCGGGCCUCGGCCAGGCCUGAGAGGCCGGGAGGGUUUGACCCUGGGGCUGCAUGGACAGCUUAGCGCUCGGCCGCUGGCGACGGCGGAGGGCGGAGGAUCUGCAGGUUCCGGGGGACGUGAAACGGGUAUGCAGGAGAUUAGAAGCCAGUGGGCACGAGCGUGGCUGCCACCAGGUGAAUGCCUGUGCCCUGGCGUCCUGGGGCCCAGAGGACCGGGAGCUUCCAUCAAGAGGCUGCCCCCCAGCACCAAGGCCAGAAAGUGGCCAGGGGAGGCUAAGUACAGGGAUUUCUCAGAAUGGUGGAAGGAGCUCAGCCCAGCCUUGCCCAAGAUGUAUUGCAGGGGAAUCUGUAAGUGCAUUAACCUUCUUGCUGUGACAUAAAAGAUAGACUUCUUCUUAAAUAUUAGAUCCAUAAAACAAA
Molecule: long non-coding RNA, 421 nt
Filed under: Pan troglodytes (chimpanzee)
Lineage: Eukaryota; Metazoa; Chordata; Mammalia; Primates; Hominidae
Description: long non-coding RNA NONPTRT002404
Source: RNAcentral